Long non-coding RNA from Pyrus x bretschneideri (Chinese white pear), 779 nucleotides. RefSeq lists it as uncharacterized. The record is from RefSeq and is a predicted model, not a curated record. NCBI's taxonomy places the organism in Eukaryota, Viridiplantae, Streptophyta, Magnoliopsida, Rosales, Rosaceae. The transcript has 2 exons.
UCUACACCUUCACCUGUGCUUCCGCCAAUUACAUCAUCACUUUCUGCCCUGCUCCUUCGACCAGCGUGAAGUCGUCGAAUGGGACUGUCCCUGGUGCGGCCGAUGUCUCAGCUAGUUUACGUAAUACAACGCCCAACAUCGUCGUUUUCGCCGUCACUGUUAUGGCGGUGGCUUGGCGGUGGCUGCCGCUAUUUUGAAUCUCUGCAGCAGAUUUCACACUAGAGAUAUCUCAUCGGAGAUCUGACGUAAUAGGCUAACAGUUUGAUUUCGAAAUACGUUGGGGGCCCAAACAUAUUGACUUUUCUGAAAGCGGACGUAGGAGAAAAUGGGGCCCACGAUUCGAUCGGAGGUUACAACUUUGCAUGUGGGUGUGAAACGGAGCCGUAACAAAGCUAUGGCCCCAUGUAUGCAACUUUGGUGACACAUACAAACACAUACACACUGUGAUCCACGUCGUCUGAUUUCAAAAGGACAAAUCAGGAGCGUUGCCCUUGCUGCCAUAAGCACAUAGGGUUUUCCACUUCUUUUUUUCUUAAUUAUUGUCAAUUUUCGGAUUUUAGAUUGAGAUGUAAAUAAUUAUAUAUAUUAUAGUAGAAAGCAGAUAGAAUCAGUAGCUGGAAAUGUAAAUCUUUUGCUGCUAGAUGUAUGUUUUGGUCAGCAUCAUGAAAGUCCGAACAAAAUGCGGACAUAUCGUUGUUUCACACUUCAAAUUGUUGAUUAAAACGUGCAACAACAAAGAGCAUGUUAUCGAAUUAAUUAACAUUUCGUCUUUCUAAUUA